This 484-nucleotide ribosomal RNA is filed under the name uncultured bacterium. Its description in RNAcentral is "partial 16S ribosomal RNA". It matches the Rfam family "Bacterial small subunit ribosomal RNA", at positions 30 to 507 of the family's 1533-position model. The record is from RNAcentral.
AUUGAACGCUGGCGGCAGGCCUAACACAUGCAAGUCGAGCGGAUGAAGGGAGCUUGCUCCUGGAUUCAGCGGCGGACGGGUGAGUAAUGCCUAGGAAUCUGCCUGGUAGUGGGGGAUAACGUCCGGAAACGGGCGCUAAUACCGCAUACGUCCUGAGGGAGAAAGUGGGGGAUCUUCGGACCUCACGCUAUCUGAUGAGCCUAGGUCGGAUUAGCUAGUUGGUGGGGUAAAGGCCUACCAAGGCGACGAUCCGUAACUGGUCUGAGAGGAUGAUCAGUCACACUGGAACUGAGACACGGUCCAGACUCCUACGGGAGGCAGCAGUGGGGAAUAUGGGACAAUGGGCGAAAGCAUGAUCCAGCCAUGCCGCGUGUGUGAAGAAGGUCUUCGGAUUGUAAAGCACUUUAAGUUGGGAGGAAGGGCAGUAAGUUAAUACCUUGCUGUUUUGACGUUACCAACAGAAUAAGCACCGGCUAACUACGUG